Molecule: ribosomal RNA, 433 nt
Filed under: uncultured bacterium
Lineage: Bacteria
Description: partial 16S ribosomal RNA
Rfam family: Bacterial small subunit ribosomal RNA
Source: RNAcentral
AACGAACGCUGGCGGCAUGCCUAACACAUGCAAGUCGAACGAUCCCUUCGGGGAUAGUGGCGCACGGGUGCGUAACGCGUUGGAACCUGCCCUUAGGUUCGGAAUAACUCAGAGAAAUUUGAGCUAAUACCGGAUAAUGUCUUCGGACCAAAGAUUUAUCGCCUUUGGAUGGGCCCGCGUUGGAUUAGCUAGUUGGUGGGGUAAAGGCCUACCACGGCGACGAUCCAUAGCUGGUCUGAGAGGAUGAGCAGCCACACUGGGACUGAGACACGGCCCAGACUCCUACGGGAGGCAGCAGUGGGGAAUAUUGGACAAUGGGCGAAAGGCUGAUCCAGCAAUGACGCGUGAGUGAUGAAGGCCUGAGGGUUGUAAAGCUCUUUUACCCGGGAUGAUAAUGACAGUACCGGGAGAAUAAGCCCCGGCUAACUCCGUG